RNAcentral lists this ribosomal RNA (730 nucleotides) under Meliola centellae. RNAcentral's name for it is "eukaryotic LSU rRNA". It matches the Rfam family "Eukaryotic large subunit ribosomal RNA", at positions 142 to 873 of the family's 3401-position model. The record is from RNAcentral. Lineage: Eukaryota; Fungi; Ascomycota; Sordariomycetes; Meliolales; Meliolaceae.
GUUGUAAUCUGGUAGAGGAGUCGCUGGCCGACAACUGCUCCCAAGUUCUCUGGAAUGGGACGCCAUAGAGGGUGAGAGCCCCGUGGGGUGUGGUUGAGACGGUCUUGAUGCGACUCCUUCGGCGAGUCGAGUAGUUUGGGAAUGCUGCUCUAAAUGGGAGGUAAAUUCCUUCUAAGGCUAAAUAUCGGCCGGAGACCGAUAGCGCACAAGUAGAGUGAUCGAAAGAUGAAAAGCACUUUGAAAAGAGGGUGAAACAGUACGUGAAAUUGUUGAAAGGGAAGCGCCCGCGACUAGACUUGCACCUGAUCGAUCGCUUUGUGUUAUCCACAAAGUCUCCCGUUCAUGGUUGCAGGCCAGCAUCGGUUUGUGUUUUGGGGGAAAAGGGUAGCAGGAAUGUAGCUCGUCUCUAGGGAUGAGUGUUAUAGCCUGUUGCAAGAUACCCUGACAUAGAUCGAGGACCGCGUCUUUGGCACGGAUGCUGGCAUAAUGGUCGUUGACGACCCGUCUUGAAACACGGACCAAGGAGUCGAGGUUUUCCGCGAGUGUGUGGGUGACAGACCCGCCCGCGAAAUGAAAGUGAAUGCAGGUGGGAGCCUUUUUUUAAAAGGUGCACCACCGACCGAUCCCGAAGUUCUCGGAGGGAAUCGAGUAGGAGCGGAGGGCCUCGGGACCCGAAAGAUGACGAACUAUGCCCUGCAUAGAAUGAAGCCAGAGGAAACUCUGGUGGAGG